Molecule: ribosomal RNA, 389 nt
Filed under: Hypsoblennius hentz (feather blenny)
Lineage: Eukaryota; Metazoa; Chordata; Actinopteri; Blenniiformes; Blenniidae
Description: partial 12S ribosomal RNA
Rfam family: Bacterial small subunit ribosomal RNA
Source: RNAcentral
GCUUAGCCUUAAACUUAGAUAAUAGAUUACCUAAAUUAUCCGCCUGGGGACUACGAGCACUAGCUUAAAACCCAAAGGACUUGGCGGUGCUUAAUAACCCCCUAGAGGAGCCUGUUCUAGAACCGAUAACCCUCGUUAAACCUCACCCUUUCUCGUCUAUUCCGCCUAUAUACCGCCGUCGUCAGCUUACCCUGUGAAGGCCUUUUAGUAAGCAUAAUUAGUACAAACCCAAAACGUCAGGUCGAGGUGUAGCAUACGAAAGGGGAAGAAAUGGGCUACAUUUCCUGAAAUCAGGAUAUACGAAUAAUGUUUUGAAAAAGGCACUAGAAGGAGGAUUUAGAAGUAAGAAGGGAAUAGAGUGCCCUACUGAAAUUGGCCCUUAAGCGCGC